CCUACGGGGGGCUGCAGUGGGGAAUUUUGGACAAUGGGGGCAACCCUGAUCCAGCCAUUCCGCGUGAGUGAAGAAGGCCUUCGGGUUGUAAAGCUCUUUCGGCCGGGAAGAAAUCGCAUCUCCUAAUACGGGGUGUGGAUGACGGUACCGGAAGAAGAAGCACCGGCUAACUACGUGCCAGCAGCCGCGGUAAUACGUAGGGUGCGAGCGUUAAUCGGGAUUACUGAGCGUAAACACUACGCAGGCUGCGAAAUGCCCGGGCUUAACCUGGGAACUGCGUUUGUGACUGGUGGGCUUGAGUGCGGCAGAGGGGGGUGGAAUUCCACGUGUAGCAGUGAAAUGCGUAGAGAUGUGGAGGAACACCGAUGGCGAAGGCAGCCCCCUGGGUCGACACUGACGCUCAUGCACGAAAGCGUGGGGAGCAAACAGGAUUAGAUACCCUGGUAGUC
Molecule: ribosomal RNA, 449 nt
Filed under: uncultured bacterium
Lineage: Bacteria
Description: partial 16S ribosomal RNA
Rfam family: Bacterial small subunit ribosomal RNA
Source: RNAcentral